Non-coding RNA from Marasmius tenuissimus, 105 nucleotides. Lineage: Eukaryota; Fungi; Basidiomycota; Agaricomycetes; Agaricales; Marasmiaceae. The record is from the annotation of a GenBank genome assembly.
GCUUCCUUGGCUCAGUUGGCUAGAGCGCAGGUCUCAUACCGCAAGGUAUGCAACUCUCUGAGAGUCACGAUCCUGAGGUCGCAAGUUCGAGCCUUGCAGGGAGCA